Molecule: long non-coding RNA, 921 nt
Organism: Armigeres subalbatus
Lineage: Eukaryota; Metazoa; Arthropoda; Insecta; Diptera; Culicidae
Exons: 2
Source: RefSeq, a predicted model, not a curated record
AAAAGGUUUCAUUUCGUUGUAAAUAGUUUGUACAUAUUUGAUUCAUAUUUCUUCUAUUUUUUAAGGAUAGUUCAAUGAAUCUGAAUUUAGAACACUAAUGAAUUUGAUGGAACAGAAAAGAACUGAAAAAUAAACAUAUCGAAAACUUAUCCUGUCCAAACAAUAAACAACCCUAGUCCCGUUUUACCCACUCCUUUCGUAACGCACUGUAACGCACUACCACCAUUAACCGCACCUGACAGCUGACAGCUGUCAACACACUCGCUCUGUAGCUGCGAAGGGUCGAAAGAAGACGAAAAAAAAACCAACGGACGGGAGGAAGAUCGAUCUCUUGCAAGUGCGCGGAUUUUCUCGGGUGGCCAUUGUGCCGGUGGCAAGUUCUGUGAGUUCCGGAAAGUCCCCGUCUGUAAAACCCUGUAACUUUGUGGUGAAUUGUGUGACGCUAUCGGUUAAUACCGAUCAUUAGUUUCCACGAGGACGUGUGACAAGUCAUCGAGAUCCAGCUGUCUCCCGGCUCGUACGCCAUUUUGCCGCGGAAGUGAAACCUUCGAAGAAAAUCGUGUGGCUUUUGAUCCGGUUAAUACCAAGCACCAGCUUUCCGAGGACGUUCGUGAAGCCAGCCGAAAUUAGUUAGACCCCGGCGGUACGCCUUUUUCCACUACCGACAUCUCAGAGGGAAAACGACAUUCGGCGGCUGGCCCAUCAACCAUGCGGUACACAGCGAUGGAGACCCCGAGCUCCAGCAUGAACGCCGGCCCGCUUGUCGGAGAAAGCGAAAAGUUAAGGGAAACGACCACCUGCUGUUCCGUCUAGAGGAUCUGACCAUCGAUCAGCUGGUCUCCGACGUUACCUAUCGUUGGCCGCUGACCCGUCGCACGGAUACCACCUGUCAGCAAUGUUACGGUAAAGUGCAAAUUUAAA